UAAAUCAAUAACAAUGGAUGAUUUAGCUACAUACACGAAGAUGAACAUGGUAUAAUGUGUUAAUUAACAGAAGAUUCAAACAUUGUGACUGUUUAAUAUUUGAAUGCAAAUGCGCUCUCCGUGUUUUCGAACAAAUGAGCACAUUUCUUAUAGUAGCACUUUUGAUUCAUAUUUCAUUAGUUAUCUGAUGAUAAAUCAAAAUUUGAUCCAAAUGCUCUGUAAGAAAUGAGAAUACAUUCUAAACUGAAGCAUCUUAGUCAGAAUAGGCAGAGAAACUAACGAGGAUUCUUUCAGUAAAGGCGAUUGAAGAAAGAAAAGUUCAACUCCAAUUCUUGUAAGAGAUUUGAGGAGAAAUUAGCUUCACUGUGUAUAAAAUGUAUUGGAAAAUACUAUAAAAGAGAGUUAUAGUCUCGUAUAUACAUCAGAUUAAACGCUAGUUGAACAGAGUAGGAUAACUUGAGAAUGUUGUCUGAAGAUGGAGGCAUGUCCCUUCGAAAACUAAACAUUGUAUGUAGACUGAUAGUGAACAAGUAGCGUGAGCGAAUAAUGCAAAGCACUCUAAAUCAGAGAGUGAAAAGUGCCUGAAAUUGUUAUUGGUAUCCAUUUUAAUGGGCCCGUCUUGUAACACGGAUUAAGGAGUUUAUCUCUCAUGCGAAUUAAAAAAUGUAGAAAAAUCAACUGCUAAGAUGGCGUUAAAGCAUGAGAGAUAGAACCCGAAUGGUAGUGAACUAUACAUGUGUAGGAUGAAGUCAGGGGAAACUCUGAUGGAGGUCCGUAGCGAUAUUGAUGUGCAAAUCAUUCGUCAAACAUAUGCAUAGGUGCGAAAGACUCAUCGAACUACCUAAUAGCUGGUUUCUUCCGAAGUUUCCCUCAGGAUAGCCGCAACAUUUUUAGAUAGGAAAUGUAGAGCACUGGGUAGAGGUGUAGGGAUGCUUCGGUGUCUCAACCUAUUUCCAAACUGCGAAUUUUCCUGAUAUAAAGAUCUGCUUUAUCGGAGAUUUUUAUUUUAUUAUAUGUUGUGAGUGGGCUAAUACCGGUAAGCGGUUUUGGCGAUAAGGGAUGAACCUAAUGUUUAGUUAAGGUGCCUAAUUAUACUAACAUUAAAACCACUAAGGGAGUCUUUGUAUAUAGACAGCAGGUCGGUGACCCUAAAAGCAGGGAUCCGUUAAUGAGUGUGUUAAAACUCCCCUGCCGAAUACUCAGGCCUCGAAAAUGGAUGGCGUAAAUAGUAUAACCGAUACUAAACGGUUGACAAAUUGUCAAUGAGUAGGAAGACAUGAAAAUUUCAAUAAAGGCAAAUUGUAAAGUUUGCUGGAGGAAUUUUUAUUGCAGAUCUUAAUUGAAGUAGCGUUUAUCCAGGCUGAUAUCCUGGAGGCUGAUGAGGAGUAAGGUUUCUGGGCAACUUAAACAGACCCAGAGUUAGUCGAUCCUAACCGUGAAAUUCGGGAAAGGGUAUAUAGUUGAUAUUCUAUAACUAUAAUUGUUAUGCGGCGACGCAUUUAUAACAUCUCCACUUGAUCAUCACCGUAUGGUAGGGAUUUCUUUCCUAUAUAACCGAAUUUAUACUCCGAGAAUCAGGUCAGCUGGAGAACAGUAGUAUAAUUUGGGCAAAAUUUCCAUUUGGAAGUUUCUGGGUGUUGGUCAAGUCCAUGAAGUGAUGUUAUAACUAACAAUAUAAUCGUACUGAUAACCGCAUCAGGUCUCCGAGGUGAGAAGCCUAUGGCUUUAGGGGCGGCAUAGUUUAGGGAAUUCGGCCAAUUGGACCUGUAACUUCGGAAUAAAGGUUGGCUCUGGAGGUAUCCAGAACCGAUAGUUACAAGGGAAGCCCAACUGUUUAAUAAAAACGCAGCCUUGCGCUUGUUUCGAUUUGGAAUAUGUACGCAAGGUGAAUCCUGCUCAGUGCUGUGCCUGUUAAUAUGGAUCAACCCAACGAAGCACCGGUAAAUAGCUAGGGUAACUAUGACUCUUAUCAAAGUAGCAAAAUACCUCGUCACCUAAUUAGUGACGCGCAUGAACGGAGCUAUGAGGUUUCUACUGUCCCAAACUAUGUCCCCGCGAACCAUCAGAAGUGGGAACGGGCACUUGAUAUCCAGCGGGGAAAGAAGACCCUGUAGAGCUUCACUGUGGUCUGAUCUUGUGUGAUUUCUUUUGGGGCGCAGUCUAGGUGGGAGAGAAAUCAAGCUUGAGAAACCACUACCCGGUUUGAAAUUACGCUUAUCUACAGGAGAUAGGGUUAGAUAGCCAGUUUGGCUGGGGCGGCACACCUUCGAAAAUGCAGCGAAGGUGUUCUAAGUUGAGCUCAAUGAGGACAGAAAUCUCAUAUUGAGGAUAAGGCCAAAUGCUCAAUUUACUGUGCCUUUUUGUACUAGGAUCAGUUCCGAAAGGAAGGCCUAACGAUCCCUAAUUAGUAUCAGGGCGUGAUACUUGGGGUGACAGACAAGUUACCUCCGGGACAACUGGCUUGUGGCUGCUAAGAGAUCAAAUCGACGUAGCUUUUUGAUUCUUCGAUGUCGGCUCUUCCUAUCCUACGGUUGUAUAAGAUCGUAAGGGUUGGAUUGUUCACCCGCCCUAGGGAUCGUGAGCUGGGUUUAGACCGUCGUGAGCCAGGUUUGUUUUAUCCUACUGGAUAUUCCAUCAUAAUAGUAGUUUGAUUAAGUACGAGAGGAACUGUUGAAUCUAGCCUCUGGUUAGCAAUUAUGUGAAAGCAUAUGUUGCAGAGCUAAGCUGUCUGAGAUAAUGACUGAAGGCCUCUUAAGUCAGAACCUCAUCUAGAAAGUGAUGGUUGGAAGGUGCUCUACUGUAGAUUAGUUAGAGAAAGUAGUUGCCUUCUACAUAACUCAAUGUAUAAUACAUUGUGCCAACAAGGGUCCUGUAAGUGUUAG
This 2882-nucleotide ribosomal RNA is filed under the name Cryptocercus wrighti. RNAcentral describes it as "eukaryotic LSU rRNA". It matches the Rfam family "Eukaryotic large subunit ribosomal RNA". The record is from RNAcentral. Lineage: Eukaryota; Metazoa; Arthropoda; Insecta; Blattodea; Cryptocercidae.